ACGACUAGUAUGCUCAAAGGACACCAUGUGAUAGAUGUGUUGAUAAAACACAGUGUUCGGUACACAUUUUGGCCAUCUUUUUGGAAAUGUUCGUAAAUUUCCCUGCGUACGAGAGCCAACCAACCACUUGUUAAUGGGAACAAGAGCUGUGACGUCACCAAUCAUCAUGGCGGACGGGAAUGGAAAGGAAAAUUCUAGCUGAAGGACUGGAAGGCUGCCAAGCUGGUUUCUGUAAUUUCUGAGGAAGAGUGGAGGUCAAGUGCUGUCCCGUCCCCUGUGUGCUGUAGCUUUGCUGUACCACUGCUGUUCUAUUGCUGUCCCACUGCUGAAAAAUAGCUGUCAAUAUGGACAGUUACAGACCCUCCUACGGUGAGUCGUACGACCGUUUUGUUCCACAAGAGAACACAUCAGGAGUCAGUAAGAUACAGAAGGAAUACUGGCAUACCAAACAGAAACUCAUCAGCUAAUGUUAUAAUAUGUUCCUAGUUACAGACCCUCCUACGGUGAGUCGUACGACCGUUUUGUUCCACAAGAGAACACGUCUGGAGUCAGUAAGAUCCAGAAAGAAUACUGGCAGACCAAACAGAAACUCAG
Molecule: long non-coding RNA, 594 nt
Organism: Branchiostoma floridae (Florida lancelet)
Lineage: Eukaryota; Metazoa; Chordata; Leptocardii; Amphioxiformes; Branchiostomatidae
Exons: 3
Source: RefSeq, a predicted model, not a curated record